CGGGGUGGAGUAAUGUCUGGGAAACUGCCUGAUGAGGGGGAGUAACUACUGGAAACGGUAGCUAAUACCGCAUAACGUCGCAAGACCAAAUGGGGGACCUUCGGGCCUCAUGCCAUAAGAUGUGCCCAGAUGGGAUUAGCUAGUAGGUGGGGUAACGGCUCACCUAGGCGACGAUCCCUAGCUGGUCUGAGAGGAUGACCAGCCACACUGGAACUGAGACACGGUCCAG
RNAcentral lists this ribosomal RNA (229 nucleotides) under uncultured bacterium. Its description in RNAcentral is "partial 16S ribosomal RNA". It matches the Rfam family "Bacterial small subunit ribosomal RNA", at positions 104 to 334 of the family's 1533-position model. The record is from RNAcentral.